This 185-nucleotide non-coding RNA is filed under the name Caldibacillus thermoamylovorans. The record is from RNAcentral. Lineage: Bacteria; Bacillati; Bacillota; Bacilli; Caryophanales; Bacillaceae.
AAUUUCAUAUAAGAAAUAGGUGGCUCAUUUAAAUAUGAGUCUUAAAAGGGAAGUUCGGUGCAAAUCCGACGCGGUCCCGCCACUGUAAUUGGGAGUUCUCUAUCGGAUACCACUGUUUUCAUAACGGGAAGGUGUAGAGAAUGAUGAACAUAAGCCAGGAGACCUGCCUGUUUCAAACGCCAUAA